GACCGAGCAACGCCGCGUGAGUGAAGAAGGUUUUCGGAUCGUAAAGCUCUGUUGUAAGUCAAGAACGUGUGUGAGAGUGGAAAGUUCACACAGUGACGGUAGCUUACCAGAAAGGGACGGCUAACUACGUGCCAGCAGCCGCGGUAAUACGUAGGUCCCGAGCGUUGUCCGGAUUUAUUGGGCGUAAAGGGAGCGCAGGCGGUCAGGAAAGUCUGGAGUAAAAGGCUAUGGCUCAACCAUAGUGUGCUCUGGAAACUGUCUGACUUGAGUGCAGAAGGGGAGAGUGGAAUUCCAUGUGUAGCGGUGAAAUGCGUAGAUAUAUGGAGGAACACCAGUGGCGAAAGCGGCUCUCGUGGUCUGUCACUGACGCUGAGGCUCGAAAGCGUGGGUAGCGAACAGGAUUAGAUACCCUGGUAGUCCACACCGUAAACGAUGAGUGCUAGGUGUUAGGCCCUUGGCGGGGCUUAGUGCCGGAGCUAACGCAAUAAGCACUCCGCCUGGGGAGUACGACCGCAAGGUUGAAACUCAAAGGAAUUGACGGGGGCCCGCACA
Molecule: ribosomal RNA, 552 nt
Filed under: Streptococcus mutans
Lineage: Bacteria; Bacillati; Bacillota; Bacilli; Lactobacillales; Streptococcaceae
Description: bacterial SSU rRNA
Rfam family: Bacterial small subunit ribosomal RNA
Source: RNAcentral